AUUGAACGUGGCGGCGGGCUUAACACAUGCAAGUCGAACGGUAGCAGGAGAAAGCUUGCUUUCUUGCUGACGAGUGGCGGACGGGUGAGUAAUGCUUGGGAAUCUGGCUUAUGGAGGGGGAUAACGACGGGAAACUGUUGCUAAUACCGCGUAUUAUCGGAAGAUGAAAGUGCGGGACUGAGAGGCCGCAUGCCAUAGGAUGAGUCCAAGUGGGAUUAGGUAGUUGGUGGGGUAAAGGCCUACCAAGCCUGCGAUCUCUAGCUGGUCUGAGAGGAUGACCAGCCACACUGGAACUGAGACACGGUCCAGACUCCUACGGGAGGCAGCAGUGGGGAAUAUUGCGCAAUGGGGGGAACCCUGACGCAGCCAUGCCGCGUGAAUGAAGAAGGCCUUAGGGUUGUAAAGUUCUUUCGGUAUUGAGGAAGGUUGAUGUGUUAAUAGCACAUCAAAUUGACGUUAAAUACAGAAGAAGCACCGGCUAACUCCGUGCCAGCAGCCGCGGUAAUACGGAGGGUGCGAGCGUUAAUCGGAAUAACUGGGCGUAAAGGGCACGCAGGCGGUUAUUUAAGUGAGGUGUGAAAGCCCCGGGCUUAACCUGGGAAUUGCAUUUCAGACUGGGUAACUAGAGUACUUUAGGGAGGGGUAGAAUUCCACGUGUAGCGGUGAAAUGCGUAGAGAUGUGGAGGAAUACCGAAGGCGAAGGCAGCCCCUUGGGAAUGUACUGACGCUCAUGUGCGAAAGCGUGGGGAGCAAACAGG
This 758-nucleotide ribosomal RNA is filed under the name Haemophilus influenzae. RNAcentral's name for it is "bacterial SSU rRNA". It matches the Rfam family "Bacterial small subunit ribosomal RNA", at positions 28 to 776 of the family's 1533-position model. Lineage: Bacteria; Pseudomonadati; Pseudomonadota; Gammaproteobacteria; Pasteurellales; Pasteurellaceae. The record is from RNAcentral.